This 216-nucleotide ribosomal RNA is filed under the name Glomeromycotina sp. RNAcentral's name for it is "partial small subunit ribosomal RNA". The stretch from base 40 to 216 matches the Rfam family "Eukaryotic small subunit ribosomal RNA", at positions 686 to 864 of the family's 1831-position model. The record is from RNAcentral. Lineage: Eukaryota; Fungi; Glomeromycota.
GGGUCAGUAGGUUGGUCGUGCCACCGGUACGUUCUGGUCUCACUGAUUCCUCCUUCCUGAAGAACCGUAAUGCCAUUAAUUUGGUGUUGCAGGGAAACAGGACUGUUACUUUGAAAAAAUUAGAGUGUUUAAAGCAAGCUAACGCUUGAAUACAUUAGCAUGGAAUAAUGAAAUAGGACGAUCGAUCCUAUUUUGUUGGUUUCUAGGAUUGACGUA